Molecule: ribosomal RNA, 254 nt
Filed under: uncultured bacterium
Lineage: Bacteria
Description: partial 16S ribosomal RNA
Rfam family: Bacterial small subunit ribosomal RNA
Source: RNAcentral
GACAUAGGUGGCAAACGUUAUCCGGAAUUAUUGGGCGUAAAGGGUGCGUAGGUGGUUCAAUAAGUUACUGGUGGCAAAUCGGGGCCCAACCCCGUGGAAGUCGGUAAUACUAUUAAACUAGAGGAUCGGAGAGGUUAACGGAAUUCUAUGUGUAGCGGUAAAAUGCUCAAAUAUAUAGAGGAACACCAAACGGGGAAGGCAGUGAACGAGUCGGUGCCUGACGUUGAGGCACGAAAGCGGGGGGAGCAAGACGG